CCCUUAGAUGUCCGGGGCCGCACGCGCGCUACACUGAAGGAAUCAGCGUGGCUUUCUCCCUGACCCGAAAGGGUUGGGAAACCCGUUGAAUCUCCUUCGUGAUAGGGAUUGGGGCUUGAAAUUGUUCCCCAUGAACGAGGAAUUCCCAGUAAGCGCGAGUCAUAAGCUCGCGUUGAUUACGUCCCUGCCCUUUGUACACACCGCCCGACGCUACUACCGAUUGAACGGUUUAGUGAGGGCCUCGGAUUGGUCUCGGCCCGCUCUUUACCGGGCGGCGCCGUUGGUCGAGAAGACGCUCGAACUUGAUCGUUUAGAGGAAGUAAAAGUCGUAACA
This 334-nucleotide ribosomal RNA is filed under the name uncultured eukaryote. RNAcentral describes it as "partial 18S ribosomal RNA". It matches the Rfam family "Eukaryotic small subunit ribosomal RNA", at positions 1470 to 1796 of the family's 1831-position model. The record is from RNAcentral.